Molecule: long non-coding RNA, 1533 nt
Organism: Gorilla gorilla gorilla (western lowland gorilla)
Lineage: Eukaryota; Metazoa; Chordata; Mammalia; Primates; Hominidae
Exons: 3
Source: RefSeq, a predicted model, not a curated record
CCUGCAGGGACCUUGCCUCAGUCUCGCUUCCCGCAGCCGGAGCCCGCGUGACCGCGUGCACAGCACAGCUGGCUCGGCUUUGGAGGGGUCUCCCGGGCCGGCCUCUGAAGGUGGAGGCUGACAGCCCUGGGUGGGCGCAGUCCCAGGGGCUGGGAGCCGGCGCAGGGGAGGUCCCUGCAGGAAGAGUGGGGUCCUCCCCUGGGCAAGGCCCCACUGCCCUCCACCCGUGGCUCAUCCCAGGCUGUCACAGGGACCUCUCGGACAAGACGCUGACCUCACUAACCCGGCCCCCCGCCCCAGCCCUCAGGACUCCAUGGGGGCCAGCGCUCAGCAGACACACUUAGCAGUGGGGAGCAGGGCCCGGGGCUGCCCUGGACGGAGAUGGAGGCAGAGAGGCUGGGCGGAGGGAGGGGAGGUGGCCCAGAGCCCGGGCAUCCCACGAGGACCCGAUGACCCUCUUUCUGAGCCCCAAGCCAGAGCUCUUUGCUGGGGAUCCCCCAGUCCCGGCUGCCACGCAGGUUCAGAGCAAAGGGCUUGAGCAAGAGGACGAAGCCCAGGGCCCAACGGGGACAGCAGGAGUGGAAACAGGGGAAGACGCCAGGGGCAUGAGCUGAGCUCCUGACCCCGGGAUGGACCUCUCUGUGCUGACAAGUCACGGGGAGGCCCAGGCUGCCCUCUCCACUGCCCCCAGGUGACCUGAACCGUGCACAACGCUGAACAAAUCAACGCCAUUUCCAGGGAAGCGGAAUCCAAAGUCAGAGCCUGUUCCUCCACUUUUGAGAGGCACCAGGAUGUGCCUCUCGCUUGCCCAAUCCCCCAGACUCGGGACGCAGGGCUGGGCUCUCUGCGCAUGCGCUGAUGCCGCACGCAGCACAGGGCGGCCAAGAACAGGACUCUGUCCCCUGUCCCACAUGAGCGCCACCUCCAAGCCUGCCUACCGUGGACCACUGUCAAGGUAGGACCAUAUGAAACUGCUGUAAACCAGGCAAGUGUCAGGAAUUCCACUCAGCUUCCCCUGCUCCCUCUGAUCCCUCUGAUGCCUGAAUACAUCGCCGACUUCUCACAGGGGACACGCUCCACUAAGAGGCAGCGCUCCGAGUCGGCCCAUCCAUAGGAUGGGGGAGCCCGCCGUCUGCUGGGGGUGUGGGACUCCCUCACAGGGGCCACCGGGCUCCGUGUGGCGCUGGCCCUGUCUCCAGCUCCCUCGUGGGCGGUGCGGUCCCGGCCCUACCUGGGAUGUAGAUGUCCACGGGCACGAUGCGGUCGCAGCCCCUCACCACCGAGUAGGAGUAGUGGUAGUAGCCUCCUCCGUUGGCGCAGCUGUGGGGGAGGCACCGUGAGGGGAGUGUGCCGAGGACCCGCCUGCCCACCCUCCUUCCUCACAGCUGUGGGGGAGGCGCAGUGAGGAGCACCUGCCCAGGACCCGCCCCGUCCACCCUCCCUCCACGAGGCCUCGCCCCAUCCCCACCCGCCUUCAACUGCAGGCCAGGCACCUACGAGGCUGGAACUUGUCACGGAGAAGCAAUGAGCAAA